AAAAGGGAAGUGUCUGAUGUUGUGGCUCGACAACAGAAGGAGAUUAAAAAAAUUAAAAGCCAAACUCCAAUCCCUUAAACAGAAGAAAAACACUGCCGAACAAGAGGAAGAAGGAGAGGUGGCUGGUGAGACGUAUGUUCCACAACAGUACGCUCGUGAGGAUGAGGGUCCACCACAAACCUAUGCUGAGGAGUUUGUUUCCCUCAACAAGCCAGCUCUCCGGUACAAUUUCGAUGACCAUUCGGCCUUUGAUCAACAAGUAUAUCUUUGCUCUAACAAUAUCGACAACAUUGUGGCCCGAGCGAAUCUGUACGAGCAUUUUGGUAAAAUCACUGUUCACUGCACGUACUACGAUGAUUCACAUGCCCAGGUUCUGAUUUCAGAAAUGCUGCAAGAGGAUGUUGAAAUCCUAAUCUCAAUUGAAGGGUGCAGAUAUGUUAGGGAAGUACCAAAUAUUCCUUCCUUGGCCUAAACACUUAAUUGUAACACCCAAGGGUCCACUCGCUCAACCGCCUUCAAGACGUGAUGCGUCAAAGGGGAAAGCUCCCAUGCUUUCUCCACAAGGCGGUCAUAAUCAAGAAGAUGAAUUAUUCUCGCAAAAGGUCAUGGACAAGAUCCCUAAAUUGCUAAAAUAGAUGGUACGUUGUUGAAUUUCUGAACCUCAAAGAUAAAUGUGAUAUAAUCACAAUUCUUGUACCCCGAGGAUUGAUAGCACCGCAUACCCAGAUCACGUUAUCUGGAGAGGAUUUGCAGCAGGUUGCAUUGUGUGACUUGAUCAGCAACCAGGGAAUGCUGUUUGGAAUUAUGUAUACUCUUCUUUAAUCUAAUAACCUUAUAUACAAAAUUCUAGUCAAAUUAUUAUAAUAAGACACUAAUACUUAACAAUUUUUUUGACAGGCGCAUAUGGGAGAGCAUCAACAGUUUGAGAAAGUUUUUCAAGUUUUACGACCCAGAGCUUCUCGUAGUGAGUGGUAGCAACGAUGAAGAGAAGAGUCAGUCUUUUGACAAUGCGGCAAGACGAUUGGCUGCUUGGUUAUCAUCGAUGAAUAACAACCACCAAAUGUUCUUUAUUCCUUAGAAUAUCAGGUAAGGGCAAGGCUAAAGUUGAGGAGCCGUGAGUACGAGCAGAUACAUGUCGGGGCGGUUAGGCCUGGAGCGUACGAUCUUUGGGACAUCAAGGCUUUUGUUGUAUAGUCGCUGGGCGACAAGCUUUUGUUUAUGUGUAUAGCAAACUUUUAAAAAGUGUUUUGUAAACGGGAUCCCGAAAUUUUAUAUAUGUAAUACUUUAAGUUUUUAAUUAAAUAAGCAAAUUUUAAUUAAUCACGUUUUUCAUUA
Long non-coding RNA from Cannabis sativa, 1335 nucleotides. RefSeq lists it as uncharacterized. The transcript is spliced from 3 exons. Lineage: Eukaryota; Viridiplantae; Streptophyta; Magnoliopsida; Rosales; Cannabaceae. The record is from RefSeq and is a predicted model, not a curated record.